UGCUAUUUCUUGGGCCGCUCCCGUGGCAUAUGGAGUUUCCCAGGCUAGGGGUCUAAUGGGAGCUGUAGCCACCAGCCUACGCCAGAGCCACAGCAACGCAGGAUACGAGCCGCGUCUGUGACCUACACCACACCUCACGGCAACGCCAGAUCCUUAACCCACUGAGCAAGGGCGGGGAUCGAACCCACAACCUCAUGGUUCCUAGUCAGAUUCGUUAACCACUGCGCCACGACGGGAACUCCUAGAGUCAGGAUUUAAACAGAGUGAGGUAGAUCCCAAGCUUCCAGCAUUUCUCCUUGUGGGAAAGCCUCAGAGACUUGCUCCCCUCCAAACUAGCAAACAGCUGUCACCGAGAUACCUCCAAUCUUUAAAUGGAUAAUUUUAUUUUUUCUCAUGUCUUCCUAGCCCAGACAACCACCCUGGGCUCCACCACCACUGCUGCCACCACCACUGCUACCACAGCUGGCCUCGGGACCUCAGAGAACCAAAGGCAUUCGGGGUCUUGGCCCCUGAGUACGGAAGCUACAGUGGGGAUAGCAGGCGCUGUGCUUGUAAUAGCAAUUGUGGGACUGAUUUUGUGCCUCUGGUGGAAGAAGAGGAAAGGUCUGCAGACUAAAGCCAGAACCCCCGCCAGGGGAGAUGGAGGUAUUUGAAAGCCAGGAGGCUAUUUUUGCAAGAAAGCAGAGGUGAUACCAUUGCUAUUUUUUUUCUUUUAUUUGGAAAAAAACAAUGGACAUAAAUUUAUCCUCCAUAAAGAAUAGCUGCUACCUUCAAGUAAAUGUGGUGGUCUAUUGAGAGAUACACUGGCACAGGUGGGACAGGACUCCUGGGUCCUAGUUGGUGACUGGAAAACUUCCCAUGAGAAAAUGAGGGAAACACAAACCACUGACAGAAUCCUUUUUCACUACCCACAGACCCUCUAUUUCAAGAUGUCCUGGCCUGACAGCACCAUCCCUCAGCCCCCUGGACCCUGUGCUGCCUCUAAAUCUGCCUUCAAGUCCUCAGAAUCUCCCUCCUUCUUGCACUUUCUCCCCCAGGAGCUCUUGGACCUGACCCAUUUUCUGUACUAGCCUCCAGCCUUGGGAGAUGAGGAGGGAAUUUUUGGCCUCAAUGAGCCUCUAAACCUCUAUCUACUACCUGAGGGGUCCUGCCCAGGACAGCUCUGCCCUGGGAGGCUAUCUGGCCAUCCUUGUGACUGGAGACCACCGAUAGAGCAGGUCCAUGGCCCACACUGGGGAUCUAUUUUGGGUCCUGACUGAAAGGCAAGGGUCCCUUGGGGUGUACAGGAUCUGUAAAUGGCACAUACCUGCCGCCCUUCCCCCUGCUCUGGGCUGGGAUCACCCAAGUGUAAGUGUAGCUGAUCUACUCCAACAAAGUAGUUGGGUCUUGGGAUAAAAAUCUGAAGGAAGCAAGGGACCACAGUGGAUUUCACAGGGUAUUUCCAUGGAAUUUGAAAACAAGUUAAUUAGAAAACACCAAAAGUGAAACACAAGAGGACAAAAAGAAAGAACAGAGAAUGCAAGAGCUGUUGGUUAACAUCCCAAGGCUUAACAUACUGGUAUUUGGCAUAUCAGAACGGGAAGAGGGAGAAGAAUAGUGCAGAAGAAAUACCUCAAGAGACAAUGCCUAAUUUUUUUCAAAAACAACUAAAAACACAUUAACCCACAGAUCCAAGAAGCUCAGAAAACUCUAAAAAGGAAACACACACAGCUAAACAGGUCAUAUUUAAACCAAUGAAAACCAAAGACAAAGAGAAAAAUACAAGGCAACCAGAGAAAAAAUAUGGCAUCUUACACAAAGAGAAAAAAAUAAGAAUUAUACCCAGCUUCAUCAUGUUAUAAGCUAGAGGAAAAUAAAAUGGCAUCUUUGAAGUACUGGGCGGGGGGG
This 1887-nucleotide long non-coding RNA is filed under the name Sus scrofa (pig). RNAcentral describes it as "lncRNA (ENSSSCG00015059149.1)". The record is from RNAcentral. Lineage: Eukaryota; Metazoa; Chordata; Mammalia; Artiodactyla; Suidae.